This 683-nucleotide ribosomal RNA is filed under the name Comamonadaceae bacterium. RNAcentral's name for it is "bacterial SSU rRNA". It matches the Rfam family "Bacterial small subunit ribosomal RNA", at positions 52 to 729 of the family's 1533-position model. Lineage: Bacteria; Pseudomonadati; Pseudomonadota; Betaproteobacteria; Burkholderiales; Comamonadaceae. The record is from RNAcentral.
AACAUGCAGUCGAACGGCAGCACAGGUGCUUGCACCUGGUGGCGAGUGGCGAACGGGUGAGUAAUACAUCGGAACGUGCCCAGACGUGGGGGAUAGCUCGGCGAAAGCCGAAUUAAUACCGCAUACGAUCUACGGAUGAAAGCGGGGGAUCGCAAGACCUCGCGCGUUUGGAGCGGCCGAUGGCAGAUUAGGUUGUUGGUGGGGUAAAGGCUUACCAAGCCUGCGAUCUGUAGCUGGUCUGAGAGGACGACCAGCCACACUGGGACUGAGACACGGCCCAGACUCCUACGGGAGGCAGCAGUGGGGAAUUUUGGACAAUGGGCGCAAGCCUGAUCCAGCCAUUCCGCGUGCAGGAUGAAGGCCCUCGGGUUGUAAACUGCUUUUGUACAGAACGAAAAGGUCCUGGUUAAUACCUGGGGCUCAUGACGGUACUGUAAGAAUAAGCACCGGCUAACUACGUGCCAGCAGCCGCGGUAAUACGUAGGGUGCAAGCGUUAAUCGGAAUUACUGGGCGUAAAGCGUGCGCAGGCGGUUAUGUAAGACAGAGGUGAAAUCCCCGGGCUCAACCUGGGAACUGCCUUUGUGACUGCAUAGCUAGAGUACGGUAGAGGGGGAUGGAAUUCCGCGUGUAGCAGUGAAAUGCGUAGAUAUGCGGAGGAACACCGAUGGCGAAGGCAAUCCCC